CUACGGGAUGCACCAGUGGGGAAUAUUGCACAAUGGAGGGAACUCUGAUGCAGCAACGCCGCGUGGAGGAUGACACAUUUCGGUGCGUAAACUCCUUUUAUAUAAGAAGAUAAUGACGGUAUUAUAUGAAUAAACACCGGCUAACUCCGUGCCAGCAGCCGCGGUAAUACGGGGGGUGCAAGCGUUACUCGGAAUCACUGGGCGUAAAGAGCAUGUAGGCUGGUUUGUAAGUUAGAAGUGAAAUCCUAUGGCUUAACCAUAGAACUGCUUCCAAAACUACUUACCUAGAGUAUGGGAGAGGUAGAUGGAAUUUCUGGUGUAGGGGUAAAAUCCGUAGAGAUCAGAAGGAAUACCGAUUGCGAAGGCGAUCUACUGGAACAUUACUGACGCUCAGAUGCGAAAGCGUGGGGAGCAAACAGGAUUAGAUACCCCGGUAGUC
This 439-nucleotide ribosomal RNA is filed under the name uncultured bacterium. RNAcentral's name for it is "partial 16S ribosomal RNA". It matches the Rfam family "Bacterial small subunit ribosomal RNA", at positions 339 to 795 of the family's 1533-position model. The record is from RNAcentral.